CGAGUCUUAACUGGGCGUUAAGUUGCAGGGUAUAGACCCGAAACCCGGUGAUCUAGCCAUGGGCAGGUUGAAGGUUGGGUAACACUAACUGGAGGACCGAACCGACUAAUGUUGAAAAAUUAGCGGAUGACUUGUGGCUGGGGGUGAAAGGCCAAUCAAACCGGGAGAUAGCUGGUUCUCCCCGAAAGCUAUUUAGGUAGCGCCUCGUGAAUUCAUCUCCGGGGGUAGAGCACUGUUUCGGCAAGGGGGUCAUCCCGACUUACCAACCCGAUGCAAACUGCGAAUACCGGAGAAUGUUAUCACGGGAGACACACGGCGGGUGCUAACGUCCGUCGUGAAGAGGGAAACAACCCAGACCGCCAGCUAAGGUCCCAAAGUCAUGGUUAAGUGGGAAACGAUGUGGGAAGGCCCAGACAGCCAGGAUGUUGGCUUAGAAGCAGCCAUCAUUUAAAGAAAGCGUAAUAGCUCACUGGUCGAGUCGGCCUGCGCGGAAGAUGUAACGGGGCUAAACCAUGCACCGAAGCUGCGGCAGCGACACUAUGUGUUGUUGGGUAGGGGAGCG
RNAcentral lists this ribosomal RNA (562 nucleotides) under Escherichia coli. RNAcentral describes it as "partial 23S ribosomal RNA". It matches the Rfam family "Bacterial large subunit ribosomal RNA", at positions 678 to 1238 of the family's 2925-position model. The record is from RNAcentral. Lineage: Bacteria; Pseudomonadati; Pseudomonadota; Gammaproteobacteria; Enterobacterales; Enterobacteriaceae.